This 253-nucleotide ribosomal RNA is filed under the name uncultured bacterium. RNAcentral's name for it is "partial 16S ribosomal RNA". It matches the Rfam family "Bacterial small subunit ribosomal RNA", at positions 524 to 776 of the family's 1533-position model. The record is from RNAcentral.
UACGGGGGGGGCAAGCGUUGUUCGGAAUUACUGGGCGUAAAGGGCUCGUAGGCGGCCAACUAAGUCGGAUGUGAAAUCCCCAAGCUUAACUUGGGAACUGCAUCCGAUACUGGAUGGCUUGAAUCCGGGAGAGGGAUGCAGAAUUCCAGGUGUAGCGGUGAAAUGCGCAGAGAUGUGGAGGAACACCGAUGGCGAAGGCAGCCUCCUGGGCCAACACUGACGCUCAUGCACGAAAGCGUGGGGAGCAAACAGG